AGACGGGGGGAGCAAGCGUUGUUCGGAUUUACUGGGCGUAAAGGGCGUCUAGGCGGAUUGCCAAGUCAGAUGUGAAAUCCUGCGGCUCAACCGCAGAACUGCAUUUGAUACUGGUAGUCUUGAGUACGGAAGAGGGAAGCGGAAUUCCAGGUGUAGCGGUGAAAUGCGUAGAUAUCUGGAAGAACACCGGUGGCGAAGGCGGCUUCCUGGUCCUGUACUGACGCUGAAGCGCGAAAGUGUGGGGAGCAAACAGGAUUAGAUACCCUGGUAGUCCACACUGUAAACGAUGGAUGCUAGGUGUCGGGGGUAUCGACCCCUCCGGUGCCGAAGCUAACGCAUUAAGCAUCCCGCCUGGGGAGUACGGUCGCAAGGCUGAA
RNAcentral lists this ribosomal RNA (377 nucleotides) under uncultured bacterium. Its description in RNAcentral is "bacterial SSU rRNA". It matches the Rfam family "Bacterial small subunit ribosomal RNA", at positions 523 to 898 of the family's 1533-position model. The record is from RNAcentral.